This is a long non-coding RNA of Eubalaena glacialis (North Atlantic right whale), 134 nucleotides long. RefSeq lists it as uncharacterized. The transcript is spliced from 3 exons. The record is from RefSeq and is a predicted model, not a curated record. Lineage: Eukaryota; Metazoa; Chordata; Mammalia; Artiodactyla; Balaenidae.
ACUUAUGCAAGGAUUUUCUUCUUUAAUCUGCACCACCCCACGAGUUCCUCUCUGGAAUUCAUCCUGUCACUUGACUGUGUGGGCCCCAUGUGGAAUUCUAACAGCAUCCAGGAAGCCAUUCCGUCAAGCUGGUA